CCUACGGGAGGCAGCAGUGAGGAAUAUUGGUCAAUGGGCGUACGCCUGAACCAGCCAAGUCGCGUGAGGGAUGAAGGUUCUAUGGAUCGUAAACCUCUUUUAUAAGGGAACAAAGUGUGGGACGUGUCCUAUUUUGUAUGUACCUUAUGAAUAAGGAUCGGCUAACUCCGUGCCAGCAGCCGCGGUAAUACGGAGGAUCCGAGCGUUAUCCGGAUUUAUUGGGUUUAAAGGGAGCGUAGGUGGGUUGUUAAGUUAGUUGUGAAAGUUGGCGGCUCAAACGUAAAAUUGCAGUUGAUACUGGCGGUCUUGAGUGCAGGUGAGGUAGGCGGAAUCCGUGGUGUAGCGGUGAAAUGCUUAGAUAUCACGAAGAACUCCGAUUGCGAAGGCAGCUUACUGGACUGCCACUGACGUUGAGGCUCGAAAGUGUGGGUAUCGAACAGGAUUAGAUACCCCUGUAGUC
RNAcentral lists this ribosomal RNA (460 nucleotides) under uncultured bacterium. RNAcentral's name for it is "partial 16S ribosomal RNA". It matches the Rfam family "Bacterial small subunit ribosomal RNA", at positions 338 to 795 of the family's 1533-position model. The record is from RNAcentral.